RNAcentral lists this unclassified non-coding RNA (1626 nucleotides) under Hevea brasiliensis (rubber tree). The record is from RNAcentral. Lineage: Eukaryota; Viridiplantae; Streptophyta; Magnoliopsida; Malpighiales; Euphorbiaceae.
UCCAUCGAAGAUACUUCAGCUUCAGCUCCAAUGCUCUCCCUUGUCUCUAAUCUCGUUCCUCACCUGGCUCCACCAGUUAACAGUUGCAGCUCUUUCUCUGUCAAAAAGCCACAAACAGAAGCUUCUCUGUAUGUCUAUGUAUUUACAAUAAUAACAAGGAAGAGACGGGGACUCAGAGGUUUGGGUGGCUUGGAGCAUGGGUAGUUUGGGCCGAGUUCUGGCUGUUUCUCACUCUAAUAAGCCGCUGCGCCUGUCAGGUCCUCACAGUUUACAUCACUCAAACGGUAGAUUUGUUGGUUUCAACCGCAAAUUGAGCUCGAAAUGGCGAUCUACGGCGUCCGAACUCGAAUCUUCUUCUUUCGCGCCUUCUGUCGACUCUGAUUCCACUGAUAAAAACGCAGCUGGGUUUUGUAUUAUAGAAGGACCUGAAACGGUUCAAGACUUCGCUAAAAUGGAACUGCAAGAAAUUCGAGAUAAUAUUCGAAGUCGGCGGAACAAAAUUUUCUUACAGAUGGAGGAGGUUCGUAGGCUAAGGAUACAGCAGAGAAUCAAGAGUGCUGAGCUCGGGAUUUUAAAGGAAGCGCAAGAGAAUGAGCUUCCUGACUUUCCAUCAUUCAUCCCCUUUUUGCCUCCUUUGAGUGCAGAAAAUCUUAAGCUGUAUUAUGCUACUUGUUUUUCUCUUAUUGCUGGGAUCAUCAUUUUUGGUGGCCUUUUGGCACCUACUUUGGAGCUUAAGCUGGGGUUAGGGGGAACAUCAUAUGAAGAUUUUAUCCGCAGUGUCCAUUUGCCUAUGCAAUUGAGUCAGGUUGAUCCAAUAGUGGCUUCAUUCUCUGGAGGAGCAGUUGGGGUGAUCUCAGCCUUGAUGGUAGUUGAGAUAAACAAUGUAAAACAACAGGAACAUAAAAGAUGCAAAUAUUGUCUUGGAACUGGUGUGUCCUGGAUUCUCUCUACACUCCCCCUCUCCCUUUACCUUUUGUGUCUCUGAACAUUUUUGUCUUGGCUCCAUUUUCUUUAGACCUGAUUUGACUUUGCAUCUCUACUUUCAAAAUGACUCAUUAAUUUAGGUUGGUAGGGUUAGACAAUAAUCAAGCUUAUGAUCCAAGUUCUUGCGCAGCUAUUGAUAUUUUUCCAUCGAACAGAAAUUCGGGUUGUAUUUUAAGCGACUAUAUGUGCUUUCCAGAAUUUGCGUCCAUUUUUUCCACAUCUGCUUGAAAGAGUUUAUCCUUACAGAAAGUUCUAAUAAAAGCACUUUCCUAUCUAUUCAAUGGCACUUUUAUGCUCCUUUUUGUUAUAUCCCCCAAUACCUUCACGGUUUUUCAGUUGCUGAGUUUCCUGUCUAUAUGUAGCUAACUUAAGUACUCAAUGCCUUGCAAUUCAAUUAAUAUAUGGUAAUGAUCAUUAAUAUAGUAUUUGAUAUGUACUAACCUGUUUGAUUUCUCUUUGGGUAAUAUUGAACUUAUAACGGAUAAUUGUGAACAUUCAUAUGUAAAAAUCUCAGAGAAGAGGAGAAUGUGUGUCCUGUACUUAUUUCCAAUAUACACUGGAUAAAUGCAGGUUAUCUUGCUUGUGCUCGUUGCUCUAGCACUGGAUCUCUUGUUCUCAUCGAACCAGUUUCAACAGUCAAUG